Long non-coding RNA from Hypanus sabinus (Atlantic stingray), 1640 nucleotides. RefSeq lists it as uncharacterized. Lineage: Eukaryota; Metazoa; Chordata; Chondrichthyes; Myliobatiformes; Dasyatidae. The record is from RefSeq and is a predicted model, not a curated record. The transcript is spliced from 3 exons.
UUGGUUAGCAUCGAUGAGUUGGGCCAAAAGGCCUGUUUCCUGUGACUUGGGGCUUCAGGCUUCUGCAACUCCAGUCUGAUGAUAGCCGUGAGAUGUGGCAGAGCCUGCACGGUGACAGUCAUUGAUGAUAGAUGUUGACUCCUUGAGCCAGGAGAUCCUGCUGCUAAUACCAGUGGUGUGGAGAGAUGUGCCCACAGUAUUUUGGGAAGAGUCCAUUACUCAGAGUUUCCUGAUGCAGGGUUUUGACCCAGAACGUGGACUGCCCAUUUUCCUCCACUGAUGCUGCUUCACUCACUGAGUUCCUCCAGCAUCUUGUUUGUUGCUGUACAUCUCUUGUGUCACCAUGUUCAGACAAGAUAAGUUAGGGUUUUAUGAGUGAAAGCAAAGAUUUUGGUGCUUUAAAUGGAAUAAGAUUCAUCAGCCCUGAUAUGAUCCCUCAGAUCUACAGAAUGAAUAAACAAAGGAAGCACUUGGAUAAUCUUGGAUUUGAAAUUCCUCUAUUCAAAGAGAGGAGAAUAAAACAGACUCAUGUAAUUGCGUGUGAGAAAGAGUGGAUUGAAGGAACUGUAUAUUUGUUUCUGAGAGAGAAAGACAGAAGAGAAAGGUGCCUCAUUAUUCUGAAAUACAACUCAAUAAAUUAGAAACGAGAAAAUCUGCAGAUGCUGUAAAUCAAAGUAAUACACACAAAAUACUAGGGGAACUCAGCAGGCUAGGCAGCAUCUGUGGAAUAAGAGUAAACAGUCGAUGAUUCAGGCCAAAACCCUUCAUCAGGACUGGAAAAAAGAGAUGAGGUCAGAGUAAGAAGGUGGGGGGAGGAGUGGAAGAAGUACAAGGUAGUAGGUGAUAUGCGAAUGGUUUACUCUUUUCCAUAGAUGCUUCCUGGCCUGCUGAGUUCCUCCAGCAUUUUGUGGCUAUGACUUCAAUGAAUUAGAAAUGGUUUAUCAUUGUCAUAAAUACUGGGAAACAAAGGAAAGCUUCAGUCUGUGUGCCUUCCAGACAGAUUACUCCAUACAGAGGUACACUGAGGUAGUAAAGAGGAAACCAGAAUGCAGAAUAUAAUGGUCCUGCUACAGAGAAAGUGCAGUGCAGAUAGACAAUUAGCGUGCAAGUGUCGGGGCAAGGUAGAUUAGAAGAUCCUGAUUUCAUCUUUAAACAUAAAAGAGGUAGGUGACAGUAAUAGAAGCUGUCCUUGAGCCUGGAAGUAUGUGCUAUCAAGCUUUUGUAUCUUCUGCCCAACAGGAGGGGAGUGAAAAAAGUACAUCUGUGGUGAAGGGGAUUCUUGAUUAUGUUGGCUACUUUUCCAAUGUAGUGCUAAGUGUGGAGGGAGUCAAUGGAGGCAGAGCUGGUUUGCAUGAUGGACUGGCUGCAUUCACUACCCUGAGCAACUUCUUGCUGUGUUGGGUAGAGCAGCUGUCACAUUGAGCUGUUUUACAUACAGAUGGGAUGCUUUCAAAAGUACAUCUAUAAAAAUUGCUCAGGGUCAGAAAACAUGAUGUUUUGAAUAGUAGUAACUAGUAUAAAUAAUUCUGUACACAAUCCCAUUUCAAAUGAACUAUUUAACAGGGCCCCUGUGGUGUGGAGAGAGGAAAGGGGCUUGUUUUGUUGUUUUCUUGCAUGUUUUGUUUUAUUUUGUUACAUUC